CUAGAAUUUCUGGGGAGGGGGGAAGGAAUUUUGGGUUCCCUCCCACCCAGAAUUAACAUGAACCCCAUUUCUGUUGAGCAUUACGGGGGGGGUUUUGGGGGUCUCUGUUACUCUGGGUGGUCCCAGGAGUUUUUGGGAACCUGUGCCCACCCUCCCAGGCUGCACCAACCCCUUCACGACCCCCAGACCCUCCAGGAACCCCUUCCAGAGCAGCGGCCCUGGAGCUGCUUUCACCUCUCCUCCCGUUCCUGGGGGCUUCCCCAGCCCCUUCCAGGCUGA
Molecule: long non-coding RNA, 279 nt
Filed under: Lonchura striata (white-rumped munia)
Lineage: Eukaryota; Metazoa; Chordata; Aves; Passeriformes; Estrildidae
Description: domestica (Bengalese finch) lncRNA (ENSLSDG00000006709.1)
Source: RNAcentral